GAUGAACGCUGGCGGCGUGCCUAAUACAUGCAAGUAGAACGCUGAAGGAAGGAGCUUGCUCUUUCCGGAUGAGUUGCGCACGGGUGAGUAACGCGUAGGUAACCUGCCUGGUAGCGGGGGAUAACUAUUGGAAACGAUAGCUAAUACCGCAUAACAGUAGAUGUUGCAUGAUAUCUACUUAAAAGGUGCAAUUGCACCACUACCAGAUGGACCUGCGUUGUAUUAGCUAGUUGGUGAGGUAACGGCUCACCAAGGCGACGAUACAUAGCCGACCUGAGAGGGUGAUCGGCCACACUGGGACUGAGACACGGCCCAGACUCCUACGGGAGGCAGCAGUAGGGAAUCUUCGGCAAUGGACGGAAGUCUGACCGAGCAACGCCGCGUGAGUGAAGAAGGUUUUCGGAUCGUAAAGCUCUGUUGUAAGAGAAGAACGAGUGUGAGAGUGGAAAGUUCACACUGUGACGGUAUCUUACCAGAAAGGGACGGCUAACUACGU
RNAcentral lists this ribosomal RNA (496 nucleotides) under uncultured bacterium. Its description in RNAcentral is "partial 16S ribosomal RNA". It matches the Rfam family "Bacterial small subunit ribosomal RNA", at positions 28 to 506 of the family's 1533-position model. The record is from RNAcentral.